Non-coding RNA from Oryza glaberrima (African rice), 154 nucleotides. The record is from Rfam. NCBI's taxonomy places the organism in Eukaryota, Viridiplantae, Streptophyta, Magnoliopsida, Poales, Poaceae.
UAUAAUGUUUGACUCUUCGUCUUAUUUAAAAUUUUUCUAUGAUUAAUAUUUUUGUUGUUAUUACAUGAUAAAACAAGAAUAGUACUUUUAUGCGUGACUAAUUUUUUUAUAAAAUUUUCAAAUAAGAUAAACAGCCAAACGUUGGACGCAGACA